RNAcentral lists this ribosomal RNA (378 nucleotides) under uncultured eukaryote. RNAcentral describes it as "partial 18S ribosomal RNA". It matches the Rfam family "Eukaryotic small subunit ribosomal RNA", at positions 592 to 976 of the family's 1831-position model. The record is from RNAcentral.
CAAUAGCGUAUAUUAAAGUUGUUGCAGUUAAAAGGCUCGUAGUUGGAUUUGUGGUUCGUCCCGCCGGCUGGGUCAUUGACCUUUGCUGUGCUGGUCGUCCAUCCUUGGGUGGAAUCUGUGUGGCAUUAGGUUGUCGCGCAGGGGGUGCCCAUCGUUUACUGUGAAAAAAUUAGAGUGUUCAAAGCAGGCUUAUGCCGUUGAAUAUAUUAGCAUGGAAUAAUGAUAUAGGACCUUGGUACUAUUUUGUUGGUUUGCGCACUGAGGUAAUGAUUAAUAGGGACAGUUGGGGGUAUUCGUAUUCCAUUGUAAGAGGUGAAAUUCUUGGAUUUUUGGAAGACGAACUACUGCGAAAGCAUUUACCAAGGAUGUUUUCAUUAA